CGGGUGAGUAAUGCAUAGGAAUUUGCCUUGAAGUGGGGGAUAGCCCGGAGAAAUCCGGAUUAAUACCGCAUAUGUUCUACGGAACAAAGUGGGCCUCUGAUUUAAGCUCAUGCUUUGAGAUAAGCCUAUGUCGGAUUAGCUAGUUGGUAGGGUAAAAGCCUACCAAGGCGACGAUCCGUAGCUGGUUUGAGAGGAUGAUCAGCCACACUGGGACUGAGACACGGCCCAG
This 229-nucleotide ribosomal RNA is filed under the name uncultured bacterium. RNAcentral's name for it is "partial 16S ribosomal RNA". It matches the Rfam family "Bacterial small subunit ribosomal RNA", at positions 103 to 334 of the family's 1533-position model. The record is from RNAcentral.